UGAGUGAAGAAGGCCUUCGGGUUGUAAAGCUCUUUCGCAAGGGAAGAAAACUUACACAAUAACACUGUGUGAGGCUGACGGUACCUUGAUAAGAAGCACCGGCUAACUACGUGCCAGCAGCCGCGGUAAUACGUAGGGUGCGAGCGUUAAUCGGAAUUACUGGGUGUAAAGCGUGCGCAGGCGGUUUGGCAAGUCAGAUGUGAAAUCCCCGAGCUCAACUUGGGAACUGCGUUUGAAACUGCCAGACUAGAAUAUGUCAGAGGGGGGUAGAAUUCCACGUGUAGCAGUGAAAUGCGUAGAGAUGUGGAGGAAUACCAAUGGCGAAGGCAGCCCCCUGGGAUAAUAUUGACGCUCAUGCACGAAAGCGUGGGGAGCAAACAGGAUUAGAUACCCUGGUAGUCCACGCCCUAAACGA
RNAcentral lists this ribosomal RNA (415 nucleotides) under uncultured bacterium. RNAcentral describes it as "bacterial SSU rRNA". It matches the Rfam family "Bacterial small subunit ribosomal RNA", at positions 402 to 809 of the family's 1533-position model. The record is from RNAcentral.